This 1009-nucleotide long non-coding RNA is filed under the name Salarias fasciatus (jewelled blenny). RNAcentral's name for it is "lncRNA (ENSSFAG00005022196.1)". Lineage: Eukaryota; Metazoa; Chordata; Actinopteri; Blenniiformes; Blenniidae. The record is from RNAcentral.
CCACCAACUGCGGAAGUUGACGAAGCGUUUCAAAUAGACGGCGCUAAAAGACGCUUAAUUUUAGAAUCUGUCCGUAAUGUUGACGGCAAUAACGACCCAAACCCAGCUUAGCUGGACAACAGUUAACACGACAUUGUACUAACGCUAGUUAGGAAUUAGCUUAAGGAGCUCCAGAUGUUGUUUCCACAGUGAUGAAACUUUGUUACCAGCUAGCUUGUUUAGCAUGUCGCUUUUCUUCAUUUCUUCCUUUCGAUACGAGUUUAUUGUAUGAACCUGCAUCAGCACAACGAUAUGUCAUCUGCAGAUCACUCACCUAAAGAGGACAGUCUGACACAGACGGCUGCUUCCCUCUGUUUGGAAACCAGAGACUCUUCAAGCAGGCUGAGACUCACUAGUCUGACUCUGGAAGAGCUGAGUGAAGAGCUUGAUCGACGCACCAAAGAAAUCCAAAGAUUACAAGAAGAGGUGGAAAAUGUAACCAAAGUGGCAUUGCAGAGGAUCGGAUGCACGUCUGACAGUCCGCCUGGACAGAGCUCUCUCGGUCAUGGCGUCCUUCCUUCAUUUCAGCAAAGAGAGAUGCGUCCUCUGGUCUUUGUGGAUAAUUUAAACCAGGAGAGUUGUCAAAGAGACAUCAGCUGUCCCUCAAUGCAGGCAAUAGAAAAUGCAAUAGAUGGCUGUCUUCAACAGCUUUCGGACUUACGUCUGAACAAGGUCUUCAUUUUUUUUUCACUAUAAAUCUUACGCAGUCAGCAUUAUGAUGAUUCUGCUAAAUUAUAUUUAUUUCACUUUCUCAAACACAGACUCAAAAUCAACAUGAACAAGAAACAUCAAAUCCCCAAGAAGCUGUUGUAAACUUGCAGGUGCAAAUUCACAACGUUCGGAGGGAAAAGGACUUCCUGUCUGACCUGAGGUGAACACACAGAUGAAGUUUAAACUCUCAUACAUUUAAAAUGAAAAUGGCCCAGGUCCAUUUGAGCAACAGGUCUUUUUAUUCGCAGAUUAAAUGAGU